Long non-coding RNA from Culex pipiens pallens (northern house mosquito), 468 nucleotides. RefSeq lists it as uncharacterized. The transcript has 3 exons. NCBI's taxonomy places the organism in Eukaryota, Metazoa, Arthropoda, Insecta, Diptera, Culicidae. The record is from RefSeq and is a predicted model, not a curated record.
AAACAGAGCAAAGUGAGGAGAUUGUAGCAAGUAUACCAGACGAAACAGGGUUGAAUAAUCAUCAAAAAGUAGCAUUAAUUGGUGCAUGGAGCUUGGUAAAAAAAGAUAUAAUUUCACAUGGAAGAAAUAUUUUUGUAAGGUACUCUCAUUGAUUAUGGGCUGCACAAUCCUCUUAUGUUCAAAUGCAGUUUGUCCAAAAUGAUGAAAAAUCAUAAAAAACAUGGAGUACACAAAAAAGAUGUGACGGAAAAUAAUACAUUAUGAGAAGAAUGCAUCAUUUGUUUUCCAUCAAAUCGACUUUUUUCAAUUUUGAUUAAAAACAUUACAGAUUGUUUGUGAAGUUAUAAUGAAAUAUUGCCUGGAAGUUCUUGAUCAACAUCACUCCACAACAUUGGAAGCAGCAUUUAAAUCUUUGAUGAGGAGUAUUGCUGAUACAUUUGAUGAAUAAUUUGAUAAAUAUAUGGAAGA